GUGUUAAUCGGAUUUACUGGGCGUAAAGGGCGCGUAGGUUGUUGUGUAAGUGAGAUGUGAAAGCCCCGGGCUUAACCUGGGAACUGCAUCUUAUACUGCGCAACUGGAGUGCAAUAGAGGGUAGUGGAAUUUCCGGUGUAGCGGUGAAAUGCGUAGAUAUCGGAAGGAACACCAGUGGCGAAGGCGGCUACCUGGAUUGACACUGACACUGAGGCGCGAGAGCGUG
RNAcentral lists this ribosomal RNA (226 nucleotides) under uncultured bacterium. RNAcentral describes it as "partial 16S ribosomal RNA". It matches the Rfam family "Bacterial small subunit ribosomal RNA", at positions 538 to 763 of the family's 1533-position model. The record is from RNAcentral.